UUGCUUCCACGGUAAGUAUGCUAAAACUGGAAUGAUACACAGAAGAUAAACAUGAUAUCUGCGCAAGGAUGACACGCAAAAUUGUGAGGCGUUCCAUAUUUUU
Non-coding RNA from Opisthorchis viverrini, 103 nucleotides. The record is from Rfam. NCBI's taxonomy places the organism in Eukaryota, Metazoa, Platyhelminthes, Trematoda, Opisthorchiida, Opisthorchiidae.